AUGGCACAGAGCACUCAUCCUGCCCCGUGUUACGUCUGUCGUCAGGAGCAGGAUGUGUUUGAAUCUGCCCAUAAAACCUUGGCAGUGAGAGCCAUUGCAUCUCCCUCCCCUCCAGAGGCUCAUUUUUCUUCUUAGAGUGAGUGGAAUUCAGACCCAGCUGAGGUGCCACUUCUCAGCAGUAUAUAAUAUGGAUAAUUAAAGAGCAGAAAAUAUAUAAUAUGGAUAAUUAAAGAGCAGAAAUGAUUAGCA
This 249-nucleotide long non-coding RNA is filed under the name Numida meleagris (helmeted guineafowl). RNAcentral describes it as "lncRNA (ENSNMEG00000018319.1)". The record is from RNAcentral. Lineage: Eukaryota; Metazoa; Chordata; Aves; Galliformes; Numididae.